This 127-nucleotide small RNA is filed under the name Marmota monax (woodchuck). The record is from RNAcentral. Lineage: Eukaryota; Metazoa; Chordata; Mammalia; Rodentia; Sciuridae.
GCUAGGCAUGGUGACGUAUGCCUGUAAUCCCAGCAGCUCAGGAGGCUGAAGCAGGAUUAUCGAGAAUUCAAAGCCAGCCCCAGCAAUUUAGCGAGGCCCUAAGCAACUUAGUGAUAUCUUGUCUCUA